RNAcentral lists this ribosomal RNA (468 nucleotides) under uncultured bacterium. RNAcentral's name for it is "partial 16S ribosomal RNA". It matches the Rfam family "Bacterial small subunit ribosomal RNA", at positions 28 to 507 of the family's 1533-position model. The record is from RNAcentral.
GAUGAACGCUGGCGGCGUGCCUAAUACAUGCAAGUCGAACGAAAAGGCCCUGCGCUUGUGGGGCGGACGAGAGGCGAACGGGUGUGAAUCACGUGAGUAACAUGUCCCUGACAGAGGGGUAUCACUUGGGAAAAGGGGAGCAUAUAGCGGAGGAGCUCUUGAUGCGCGGUGGUGGAUGGAAAGAGUCGGGGGUUGGGGAUGGACUCGCGGCUUAUCAGCUUGUUGGUGGGGUAGGUGAUUUCCAAGGCUUUGACGGGUAGCCGGCCUGAGAGGGUGACCGGCCACAUUGGGACUGAGAUACGGCCCAGACUCCUACGGGAGGCAGCAGUGGAGAAUAUUGCACAAUGGGCGGAAGCCUGAUGCAGCAACGCCGCGUGCGGGAUGACGGCCUUCGGGUUGUAAACCGCUUUCGCCUGUGACGAAGCGUGCGUGACGGUAAUUGGUAAAGAAGCACCGGCUAACUACGUG